GUUAUGCGUUUGUCCCCGUGACGUUACUUGUUUUGGAGCAGGCGGUGGUUUUCCUCCCGUCAACAGGUCUCCUCUUCAUCAACAGCCCGUCCAGCCUGUAAUUACCGAAAUACCAUCCGGCAGAGACACGCUGGGAGGAAACGACAACGCCGUGCAGCUCUCAGUUCACAGCACCUUUUCCACGACUUGAAUAAAACAUGCAGCCUGCUGUGUGUGUGUGUGUGUGUGUAUUUUGUGUCAGCUGCCAGUACAUACAUAUGAAUGAAUAAUGAUUUUAAGAACACAAAUUGUUUGAGAAUAUCUCACAUUCCAGUUGAGCUUGGACUGCCAGAGAAAGCUGGGAGCCCUUCGUGCCGCCUGUAGAUGACUCCCUCGUUAAAAGAGACACAAGCUGGGCUGGACACCACACACACACACACGCACACGAUGAUGUGUGGUCCGCCACGUGACAGCAAAUCACUACAUUUGUCAAACUUUUCACCCGUUAUUACCUCAAUCUACGGUGGAAUAUAAUUUUAAAAAGAACAAAUUAAGCUGUAACCCUUUUUACAGUCAAUGGGAAUAAAAGGAAUCAAUUCCUGGCAAUUCCUAUAUAAAUAAAAAAUAAACAAUUUGCGUUUUAAUAAUAACGGAUGAAACUCACUACAUCAGGGUUGUGAGGUUUAUUGCAACAUUAAGCAGUUUCACACUACGGCCUCUCAUACUUGUUGAUAAUUGUUCCCUUGGGCUUUUCUGAAAUCCUCCUUCCAUAUCGCAUCGACACAAAUAUAGAUUAUGAACUUGCCUCAACUCCAAACAGACUCACUCAUCCGUGUACAGUGCUAUGGAGGCACUGGGUAGUGUUUGCUCACACUGUUCCUCUUUGAAACCCUUUACAACAGGGUUGAUAUUAUUCCAUUGCCUGCAGUAAUGGCAUGGUGCAUGACAGCAUGUGUGUGUGUGUGUGUGUGUGUGUGUGUGUGUGGUGGUGGGGGGGGGUUGCUCUGUAAUCUGGGAGCACCAUCUGUGGGUGUCAGAUGAAGCUGCCACUUAGGGGGCAUAACCCACUAACUCAAUCACCACGUUAACACAGACAGUUGGAGCUUCAACAGUCCUGUCCGAGUAAAGGUGGCGCGCCAGAAAAGACAAAUGUCUUAAGUCUAUUCAGGCUGUCCCUCAGUGUAUUGUACAAUCUGGACAACCAGUUGAGGCUUCAUUUACUCUCAUCGAUAACUUAGAAGGUCACAUGGACACAUUUUUUGUUGCGGGUAACGGUUCCGUGGGCGGAUUCGACGUGAUGCAUCAACCCAGAGUGACGUCAAUAUGACCCGCAAACGUUCAGCGGGUGGAGCCAAACUUCUCUAGCUAGAAGAAAGGGAUGACUGUCGUCUGUUAUACAACAUUCUUUACAAUUUCACACUUAACUAAAAAACACACGUCACACUUUCUUAAAUAAAUCGGGAGUGGAGUUUAUUCACAAGCUCUGAGGGAGUAAGAGUUUUGUUCAAAUGCUCAAACCUACCGUGGAAUACUUAUAGAAAGCCUGUGGGUGGUAAAGCAAAUGAAAAUCCAUCACGCUACAUCAUUACAUCUUAAGCAGUCGGUGCCACAAGUUUCCAGAGAAGCUUCAAUGCACAUUUACAUUUAUGAUACAAUAGCUUUGAAACAAAUGUACAUACCUUUUUUUUUUUUAAUAAA
This is a long non-coding RNA of Gasterosteus aculeatus aculeatus (three-spined stickleback), 1677 nucleotides long. The record is from Ensembl. NCBI's taxonomy places the organism in Eukaryota, Metazoa, Chordata, Actinopteri, Perciformes, Gasterosteidae.